Molecule: transfer-messenger RNA, 346 nt
Filed under: marine eukaryotic metagenome
Rfam family: transfer-messenger RNA
About the family: Bacterial tmRNA, also known as 10Sa RNA or SsrA, is named for its dual tRNA and mRNA-like properties. Its role is to liberate the mRNA from a stalled ribosome. To accomplish this part of the tmRNA is used as a reading frame that ends in a translation stop signal.
Source: RNAcentral
GGGGGCGAGUUAGAUUCGAUGGGGGCAGAUACGGGUCGGAGUAGCGAGCCGAGGCCCCGUACCUCGUCAAAAACGGGAACCGUCAUAACUGCCAACGAAGAGUACGCUCUAGCUGCGUAAGACAGCUACGUCCCUCCUCGCCUUUCCUGCGGGCGUGGAGAGGGCGCCAAACUAGCAGGAUACCUCCUCACGUAGCCCGGCCGCGGGGAGGGAAAUUCACGGGCUAGUCUCUCAGGCAUCCUGCCUGUGGGAGGCGUGAGAGGCGAAGGGAAAACGCAGGCUACGCUCGUAGAGACUCCGAUCGGUAUGCUUCCAGACGCGGCGGGCAGCUCGCCGCCGCCUCCAC